CCACAGAAAAGACCAUCUCAGUUCGGAUUGUAGUCUGCAACCCGACUACAUGAAGCUGGAAUCGCUAGUAAUCGCGAAUCAGAAUGUCGCGGUGAAUACGUUCCCGGGUCUUGUACACACCGCCCGUCACACCAUGGGAGUCGGAAAUGCCCAAAGUCAGUGACCCAACCGAGAGGAGGGAGCUGCCGAAGGUGGAGCUGGUAACUGGGGUGAAGUCGUAACAAGGUAUC
This 230-nucleotide ribosomal RNA is filed under the name uncultured bacterium. RNAcentral describes it as "partial 16S ribosomal RNA". It matches the Rfam family "Bacterial small subunit ribosomal RNA", at positions 1272 to 1500 of the family's 1533-position model. The record is from RNAcentral.